CCGGGGUGGAGUAAUGUCUGGGAAACUGCCUGAUGGAGGGGGAUAACUGCUGGAAACGGUAGCUAAUACCGCAUAACGUCGCAAGACCAAAGAGGGGGACCUUCGGGCCUCUUGCCAUCGGAUGUGCCCAGAUGGGAUUAGCUAGUAGGUGGGGUAACGGCUCACCUAGGCGACGAUCCCUAGCUGGUCUGAGAGGAUGCCAGCCACACUGGAACUGAGACACGGUCCAG
RNAcentral lists this ribosomal RNA (230 nucleotides) under uncultured bacterium. Its description in RNAcentral is "partial 16S ribosomal RNA". It matches the Rfam family "Bacterial small subunit ribosomal RNA", at positions 104 to 334 of the family's 1533-position model. The record is from RNAcentral.